AGAGUUUGAUCCUGGCUCAGAUUGAACGCUGAGGCUUAACACAUGCAAGUCGAACGGCAGCGGACCUUCGGGUGCCGGCGAGUGGCGAACGGGUGAGUAAAGUAUCGGAACGUACCUUUCAGUGGGGGAUAACGUAGCGAAAGUUACGCUAAUACCGCAUAUUCUGUGAGCAGGAAAGCAGGGGAUCGCAAGACCUUGCGCUGAUUGAGCGGCCGAUAUCAGAUUAGCUAGUUGGUGGGGUAAAGGCCUACCAAGGCGACGAUCUGUAGCGGGUCUGAGAGGAUGAUCCGCCACACUGGGACUGAGACACGGCCCAGACUCCUACGGGAGGCAGCAGUGGGGAAUUUUGGACAAUGGGCGCAAGCCUGAUCCAGCCAUGCCGCGUGAGUGAAGAAGGCCUUCGGGUUGUAAAGCUCUUUCGGCCGGGAAGAAAUCGCAUGGGCUAAUACCCUGUGUGGAUGACGGUACCGGAAUAAGAAGCACCGGCUAACUACGUGCCAGCAGCCGCGGUAAUACGUAGGGUGCGAGCGUUAAUCGGAAUUACUGGGCGUAAAGCGUGCGCAGGCGGUUUUUUAAGAUAGGCGUGAAAUCCCCGGGCUCAACCUGGGAACUGCGCUUAUGACUGGAAGACUAGAGUAUGGCAGAGGGGGGUGGAAUUCCACGUGUAGCAGUGAAAUGCGUAGAGAUGUGGAGGAACACCGAUGGCGAAGGCAGCCCCCUGGGCCAAUACUGACGCUCAUGCACGAAAGCGUGGGGGAGCAAACAGGAUUAGAUACCCUGGUAGUCCACGCCCUAAACGAUGUCAACUAGGUGUUGGGUGGGUAAAACCAUUUAGUACCGUAGCUAACGCGUGAAGUUGACCGCCUGGGGAGUACGGCCGCAAGGUUAAAACUCAAAGGAAUUGACGGGGACCCGCACAAGCGGUGGAUGAUGUGGAUUAAUUCGAUGCACGCGAAAA
Molecule: ribosomal RNA, 958 nt
Filed under: uncultured beta proteobacterium
Lineage: Bacteria; Pseudomonadati; Pseudomonadota; Betaproteobacteria
Description: bacterial SSU rRNA
Rfam family: Bacterial small subunit ribosomal RNA
Source: RNAcentral